UCUGCAACGCACAUCACCUCUCCCACGCGUCCCUCGACCCUGACUAACCUUAAUACUUUUACACUUAUAAAUUGAAGCACAUUCUCCUGCUGGAAUACAGAGGAGAAAACUAAUACAAUUUCCAUGGAUUGGGCAUUGGUUAUGUGGUUGUGGGCUUUGGUUUUUGUUCAGUACCAUAAUCAUGGUUGUCUUGGGUGCAUGGACAAGGAGAGGACUUCUCUCUUGGAAAUCAAAGCUUCCAUCAAUUAUCCGAAUGGGUAUUCUCUUCCUACAUGGGAGGAUGGGACUGACUGUUGGAGUUGGGAAGGAAUCAAGUGUAACAAUGCGACAGGUCAAGUGACUGAAAUUUCUCUCAAUUAUACAAGGGAAGACGAGUUGGGAGAAUGGUAUCUGAAUGCUGACUUACUUCUAUCCUUUGGGGAACUGCGGAGCCUUGAUUUGUCCGGGAAUUACCUCGCUGGUUGGGUUGAUCAUGAAGGUACCUUUAUCUCCUACAAUCUUAACAUUCUUCCUUGAUGAUUUAAAACAGGGUUGCCUUCAGUUGUCCUAAUAAAUUGAAUUGCAAAUAUGUCAAGGUUUCAAAAGAUGGUCCAGAUUGCCCAAUCUAGAGCACCUUGGCCUCCGUGAUAACUCCUUCGAUGAAAGCAUUUUUCUCUAUUUGGGUUCAAUCCCAUCCCUCAGGACUCUUGAUCUAAGCUACAAUAAUAUUAAAGGACACUUCCCCUCUGAAGGUAAGUUGAUCAAUUGUAAAGAAAUUAAACCGAGAUUGAUAACAUCAGUUUAAAACAAUAUUUUGAAAUGGAUUCAGUGGCCAUGCCUCAGUCACACUUCCAAACAAGCAAUCUGGAGGUUUCGGAUUUGAAAUAUAAGAGACCGAAUUGUUCACUAUCCCUUCUAUAUAAAAGCAUAUAGAUCUUACUGAUAGGAGUCCUUCACAUGCAUAU
RNA transcript from Magnolia sinica, 944 nucleotides. It is a transcript of the gene named receptor-like protein 9b, with no coding region annotated. The transcript is spliced from 2 exons. NCBI's taxonomy places the organism in Eukaryota, Viridiplantae, Streptophyta, Magnoliopsida, Magnoliales, Magnoliaceae. The record is from RefSeq and is a predicted model, not a curated record.